GACGAACGCUGGCGGCGUGCUUAACACAUGCAAGUCGAGCGGAAAGGCCCUUCAGGGUACUCGAGCGGCGAACGGGUGAGUAACACGUGAGUAAUCUGCCCUUGGCUUUGGGAUAACUACCGGAAACGGUGGCUAAUACCGGAUACGACAACCGUCUGCAUGGGCUGGUUGUGGAAAGUUUUUUCGGCCAGGGAUGUGCUCGCGGCCUAUCAGCUUGUUGGUGGGGUAAUGGCCUACCAAGGCUUCGACGGGUAGCCGGCCUGAGAGGGUGACCGGCCACACUGGGACUGAGACACGGCCCAGACUCCUACGGGAGGCAGCAGUGGGGAAUAUUGGACAAUGGGCGGAAGCCUGAUCCAGCAACGCCGCGUGAGGGAUGACGGCCUUCGGGUUGUAAACCUCUUUCAGUACCGACGAAGCGCCGAUGAUGGUGGUGACGGUAGGUACAGAAGAAGCACCGGCCAACUACGUG
Molecule: ribosomal RNA, 472 nt
Filed under: uncultured bacterium
Lineage: Bacteria
Description: partial 16S ribosomal RNA
Rfam family: Bacterial small subunit ribosomal RNA
Source: RNAcentral